Molecule: transfer RNA, 76 nt
Filed under: Ruegeria sp. TrichCH4B
Lineage: Bacteria; Pseudomonadati; Pseudomonadota; Alphaproteobacteria; Rhodobacterales; Roseobacteraceae
Description: Silicibacter sp. TrichCH4B tRNA-OTHER
Rfam family: tRNA
About the family: Transfer RNA (tRNA) molecules are approximately 80 nucleotides in length.
Source: RNAcentral
UGGUCGGUAGCUCAGGUGGUUAGAGCGCACGCUGAUAAGCGUGAGGUCGGAGGUUCAAGUCCUCCUCGACCCACCA